RNAcentral lists this ribosomal RNA (253 nucleotides) under uncultured prokaryote. RNAcentral's name for it is "partial 16S ribosomal RNA". It matches the Rfam family "Bacterial small subunit ribosomal RNA", at positions 524 to 776 of the family's 1533-position model. The record is from RNAcentral.
GACAGAGGGGGCAAGCGUUGCUCGGAAUUACUGGGCGUAAAGGGUGCGUAGGUGGCCAGGUAAGUUCGGUGUGAAAGCUCGGAGCUUAACUCCGAAAUGGCAUUGAAUACUAUCCCGCUUGAGGGUUGGAGGGGAGACUGGAAUUCUCGGUGUAGCAGUGAAAUGCGUAGAUAUCGAGAGGAACACCAGUGGCGAAGGCGAGUCUCUGGACGACUCCUGACACUGAGGCACGAAAGCUGGGGGAGCAAACAGG